This 773-nucleotide non-coding RNA is filed under the name Tribolium confusum (confused flour beetle). Lineage: Eukaryota; Metazoa; Arthropoda; Insecta; Coleoptera; Tenebrionidae. The record is from RNAcentral.
AUUAUAUUUUUUAUAAAGUUUUAUUAUAGCUUUGAAAUUAGCUACUGAAUUUUUGUAUAUGUGAAUAAUAGUAAGGUUCAAUUUUAUAAAAAUUGAUUUUAGUUGCAGUAUUUACUUUUAAGUUUUACGUAAUUGUAGAUUUAGGAAUUUUUUUUGUAUGGACUAAGUUUGUGCCAGCAGUUGCGGUUAUACAAACUAUGCAAGCUAAUUUUUUUUAGUAUAAUUAGGUGUUAAUUAGAAAAUGAAGAAAUAAUUUUUUAGGUGAAAUUUUAUAUUUUUGAAUAUUUUGUUUAAUGCUUCUGAAGUUAGGAAAUUUGAUUUAUAAACUAGGAUUAGAUACCCUAUUAUUACAAAUAUGAAUUUUUUACUUAAAAUGAUUAUUAGUUAUGUUCUUUAAAGUUAAAGAAUUUGGCGGUAUUUUAGUCUUUUCAGAGGAACCUGUUUUUUGAUUGAUAAUCCACGAUAAGUUUUACUUUUGUUUUUAAUUUAUAUAUCGUCGUUUAUAAAGAUUUUAUUAGAAUUAUAAUUUUUGAUUUUUUAAUUAAAAUUGAGUUCAGAUCAAGGUGUAGUUAAUAUAAAAGUUAAAAUGGGUUACAUUGUAUUUAUAUAUGGUUAUUUUAUUGAAAAUAAUAUAUAAAUUGGAUUUGAAAGUAAUGUUGUUAUUUAUGCAACUUGAUUUAGCUCUAAAAUAUGCACAUAUCGCCCGUCGCUUUCACUUUAAGGUGAAAUAAGUCGUAACAGAGUAGGUUUAUUGGAAAAUGAGCCUGGAAUGA